Molecule: long non-coding RNA, 1524 nt
Organism: Labeo rohita (rohu)
Lineage: Eukaryota; Metazoa; Chordata; Actinopteri; Cypriniformes; Cyprinidae
Exons: 7
Source: RefSeq, a predicted model, not a curated record
AAGUCUCUUCUGCUCACCAAGCCUGCAUUUAUUUGAUCCAAAGUACAACAGAAACAGUAAAAUUUUGCAAUAUGUUUGCUAUUUAAAAUAACUGCUUUCUAUUUGAAUAUAUUUUAAAAUGUAACAUUUAAAAAUCUUACUGUUCAAAAACUUUUAACUGGGAGUGUUUUUCAUCCUAUUUUAAGUUACAAUUUUACUAUUUCUAAUUCUUAAAAUUAAACAGGCUGUUUUGGCUAUUAUAAGUUUGUAUGUAAAUGAGGUCUGCUAUGAUCAGCUGACUGCUUCACAACCACUUCCAAGGUGCUGAAAACUAAAUUGAUAUGUAAAUGUGGACAGGUCAUAUGUAAGCUCAUAGUUGUGAUCUGGAAAUUUCUUUCUGUGAAUAAUGAUUCAAAUUUUGGUCUGUUUUUUUUUACAGAGCUACUAAAUGCCUUCAGAAACUGCAUAGACUACUUAUGUAACUUUUAUAGUGUUUUUGGCCAUUUUGGUCAUUUUAGUUUCAAUACAGCUUAUGUAAAAAGAUCGGCAGAAAGUUUAGUAAUGAUGAGCCCAGUGUUUUGCUGUUACACAGCUUUAGUGUGUUGGUCUGAAUCGGGGGAGAUGCAUCUGAGGGAUCCCCGGAGCCAAAUCCAAACAUCUGUCUGUUUCACCUCUGCGUCGCUUGAAAUGUGUUGGAAUGUGGAAUCUGAUCAAACUUGCUGCGAGCGUGGAAGAGACAGAAAGUUCAUACACGAUAAGAACUUGCCCCAGAGCAAGGCCACACUCCCCCUUUCACUCAAGCAGCUGUUUCACAGACCUUCAAUGCACUGCGCGCAAGAACCUGCGUGAGGGAUGCCAGUCAGAUAUUUCUCAUCCAGAGUUUCAGAAGAGACCUCAGCAAUGUUUCAGACUGCGUUUGAGUUCAGAUUUGUGCUUAGAUUUCAACAUGAGGUCAAACAUUUCUCAUCAAAUUCUCGCAAGCAGAAACAUCUGUUGACACAGUGAAACACGACUGAGAACCACCAAUACGUGCAAAACAUGCAUUCUGCUAAUGUGCUGAAACUCUCUGUGCUCCUUCCACAAGCUUGGAACAGAGGCGGAUAUCUAACACAAAAGAAGAUAUUCUGAUGAACACAGAGGUCCAAACAACAUUGGACGACACUGGCUUUCAUUUAUAAGGUCGAACGGGUUUGGAAAAACAUGAGGGAGGCCUCCCAAAUUGAGACAAGCGAGGGCCAUUUCCUGAAGGAGGGCUGUGGAAUGCUGAACAGGGGAGUCGUGCAUAUCUUCAUCUAGAAGAGAGUUUAGAUCUCUGAGUCAUCAAAACGCAGCGCCAGCAUUGUGAUUGAACUGCACAAAAACAGGAUUCUGGGUAAAAAAAAAAGAAACACCACACAAGCACAAAAGCCAACUUAUGAAUCACACACAUUAAUCUGCAAAUUUAUGACUCACUGGCUUUUUUGAGAAGCAAAAACUUGUCACAGUGCUAACGGAAGAGAAAACCUGAGUGAAGUUUUAUGGAACAGAGCUGUUUUAAAAACUAAA